UAGUUCUGUUUUCUCUUCAGUCAUGCGUAAAUCUUUCGCCUUUUACUAAAGAUUUCCGUGGGGAGGAACAUCAAUGAGUUUGAUGAGUUUUGCUCUGGCAAAGCUGUGUAUGCUU
Molecule: small nuclear RNA, 115 nt
Organism: Hemibagrus wyckioides
Lineage: Eukaryota; Metazoa; Chordata; Actinopteri; Siluriformes; Bagridae
Product: U5 spliceosomal RNA
Exons: 1
Source: RefSeq, a predicted model, not a curated record